AUAAGAGAAUCCAUGAGAGAGGAUCUCACACAGAUCAAAUAAAAUAAAACUAUAGUGUCUCAGUAAUUCCAUUAUAACUUUAUUAUCAAUGUACAAAAUAGUCCAUUAACAGGCUCACAAAGUAUUUCAGCAGUAUGUCCAUGCAUGAGUCACCUCCACCCACUAUCCCCCUCUGAAUCACAAAGUACUCAUAACUGCUGCUGAUGCAAGGUUUGCACCAUGGAGGUAAAGAGAGAACGUGGCAAGGCCAACUAAAAUAAAUACUGGGAAGAUAACAGGUUUAGGUUCAUGUCUGACUAAAUUAUGGAAAGAAUCCCUGCAGAGAUAGACUUUUUUGUUAAAUAGUAAAAUCCUUUUAGUUUAACAUAAAG
This is a long non-coding RNA of Sander lucioperca (pikeperch), 371 nucleotides long. RefSeq lists it as uncharacterized. The record is from RefSeq and is a predicted model, not a curated record. The transcript has 3 exons. NCBI's taxonomy places the organism in Eukaryota, Metazoa, Chordata, Actinopteri, Perciformes, Percidae.